RNAcentral lists this ribosomal RNA (464 nucleotides) under uncultured Anoxybacillus sp. Its description in RNAcentral is "bacterial SSU rRNA". It matches the Rfam family "Bacterial small subunit ribosomal RNA", at positions 920 to 1382 of the family's 1533-position model. Lineage: Bacteria; Bacillati; Bacillota; Bacilli; Caryophanales; Anoxybacillaceae. The record is from RNAcentral.
CCCGCACAAGCGGUGGAGCACGUGGUUUAAUUCGACGCAACGCGAAGAACCUUACCUGGGCUUGACAUCCCGAUCGCACCUUAUGGAAACAUAGGGGUCAGUUCGGCUGGAUCGGUGACAGGUGCUGCAUGGCUGUCGUCAGCUCGUGUCGUGAGGUGUUGGGUUAAGUCCCGCAACGAGCGCAACCCUUGUCCUUAGUUGCCAGCAUUCAGUUGGGCACUCUAAGGUGACUGCCGGCUAAAAGUCGGAGGAAGGUGGGGAUGACGUCAAAUCAUCAUGCCCCUUAUGACCUGGGCUACACACGUGCUACAAUGGGCGGUACAAAGGGUCGCGAACCCGCGAGGGGGAGCCAAUCCCAAAAGGCCGCUCUCAGUUCGGAUUGCAGGCUGCAACUCGCCUGCAUGAAGCCGGAAUCGCUAGUAAUCGCGGAUCAGCAUGCCGCGGUGAAUACGUUCCCGGGCCUU